RNAcentral lists this long non-coding RNA (1092 nucleotides) under Capsicum annuum. RNAcentral's name for it is "long non-coding RNA (CANN_LNC002040)". The record is from RNAcentral. Lineage: Eukaryota; Viridiplantae; Streptophyta; Magnoliopsida; Solanales; Solanaceae.
UUAUUUCUAGUUAAUUUUGAGUUUACCACAAAAACAUAAUAAACAGCUGAAUUAUAUAUUAUGGUUUUGUUUAUGCUGUAUUAUUACCAUAUGUUGUAAUUGUAUCCUGAAAUUUUCAGUAUUGAGUUCUCUUUUAAGUUUAGCCGUUUUGUUUGAAGUAUGUCCACGUGGUUAAGCUUCUAAGAUCGGUUUGAAUAUUGUAGAAUAAAUUUGACAGGGCCCAGAAGUUUCUUUGUAGUUGUUGUUGGGAAUUUAGUAACUCAAUCGACAAGAGGAAACAAUUCUCAUAGAGAAUUUUACUAGCGGAAUAAUUGCAAAUGGUGGAAACCGUUUCUUGCCUGAAAUUCAGAUUAGUAUGUGUAAUUGAACUAGGUGGGGGCUUAAGGGAAUUAACUUUUCAUAACUUCUGUUAGAAAAAUAUAAAGAUAAAUGUGUAGCAUUUGUUAGACAGCAGGGUGUGUAUGCACCAGCUGAGGUACUGGUAGUGGUAUGGACUGUGUACACUUUACUCUCCUCGGACUCCACUUUAUAGGAAUAUUUUGAGUAUGUUGUUGUUGUUGUUGUUGGUGGUGGUGGUGGUGGUGGUGUGCAUGCAUCAGUUUUUAACGAGGGAUAUAUUGCUCUAAAUCACAAAGUUGAGGGGUAUAUUUCCCGUUUUCCCUUUUUCCUUUAAUAUAUAGAAACUUGACAUGUAUGUUUACUUGUCACAUGAGAGAGUAAUCAUUCAAUUAUAAUUGUGCUUUUAAGGAAGAACACAUAAUUAUGUUUGGGAUUUAUAGUAUGUAUAUAGUAUGUAUACUGUCAGUGUUUCACACUGCUAGUGUAUUUUAACCUAAUAUAACAUAACAUCAUGAUAUUAACAUGUCUUAUAUUUCAAGUUAUUUAUGGUGUUUACCAAUUGUCAUCGUUUAGGUAACCUAAUAGUUAUUUUACAGUGUCAGUAUAAAUAGAAGUUAAACUUAAGUUGCUCGAACUCGACUGCGGGUGUUCGGUAUGGGUGCUGGUCUAGAAGUCAGAUCUCCUGGAAGGAGAUAAAAGGAAAACGAGUGAUAGAAAUUUCUAAAACGAGUGAUAGAAAUUUCUAUAUAUAAG